GGGGGCGACCUGGCUUCGACGUGGGUCACAAAACCUAAGGUGCAUGCCGAGGUGCGGUGCCCUCGUUAAUCACGCUGCAAAACUUUAGUUGCCAACGACGACAACUACGCUUUAGCAGCUUAAAAACCUGCGUAAAGCCUUCCGCCCGGCUUCGUGCCCAUACGACCGGAUCACGGGAGUCACCCNNNNNNNNNNNNNNNNNNNNNNUUCGAUUCCCGCCGCCUCCACCAAGCCAAGCAAAUGGGCCGCCUCGUGCGGCCCAUUUGCUUGGCUGAUGUCAUCGGCCAUACGGGCAACGCAGAGCGGCUACGAUGUGUUGUUCCUGGUGCGCUGCCAAGGGGUACGAGGUGCUGGGCUACCGAGAAACGCAGGAAUUUCCGACCGCUCACAUAUCAGAAUCGACAGAGUGUGGCCUGGUGGACACAGUCUUCUGGCGCAGCGCAUCGACGACAUCCAGCUCAAUGCGAUUGCGGCCGUGCUGCUUGGCCCGGUAGAGCGCGCGAUCGGCUCGCUCCAGCAAAAGGGGCGGUGAUUCACCAGCCGUAUACAGCGCCAGACCGCAUGAAAAGGUCGGCAGCGGCAGG
Molecule: transfer-messenger RNA, 584 nt
Filed under: Gammaproteobacteria bacterium
Lineage: Bacteria; Pseudomonadati; Pseudomonadota; Gammaproteobacteria
Description: partial transfer-messenger RNA
Rfam family: transfer-messenger RNA (bases 1-337)
About the family: Bacterial tmRNA, also known as 10Sa RNA or SsrA, is named for its dual tRNA and mRNA-like properties. Its role is to liberate the mRNA from a stalled ribosome.
Source: RNAcentral